AUCUGAACAGACAGACAUCUGUUUUGGGUGUUUGUCUUUGUGGAGACCAGAGUCUCAAAGGGGACUCCUGUGCCACAUUUGCCAGCUGCUUAAACCACCUCCUGCCGGUGCUUUAACCAGCAUUCCAAGAGAAGCGAAGACUUGUAGGUUUGGGUUUUCAUGUGGUUUAAAAUUUAAGGUGCCGUGUGGUCUGGUGAUGUUGGGCCUUUCUGUUCUGUGUUAACGCCUGAUUGCCUUGUCUGUCGUAGGGUGGAGGAUCCCAGUAUGUAGCACUUUGCACCGUCCCCUGCGUGCUGGCCUUGUGUUCAGCCUUAGCUAUGAAAUGCUUCAGUGUGUCUCCUUGUGUCAUGUACUGUCAGCUGUGGGAUGAAUGAGUAAGGAGGGAGUUGCCGGGGGGAAAGGUCACUACCAUUGGGCACCUGUUUGUACCUUUAUCAGCUGAGACCUUAGAUCCAAUCCCCAAGCUCUGGGAAGCUCUAGCUAUGGCAGUCUCUUUCCCUCACACUGUCAGGUUUGAGGUAUUUAGACAAGUAGCCCCGAGCUCCUUCUAAGCAGCUCUGCCAUCUUGGGCACACUUAGUUUGCCAUAUCGCUGAACUUUCAGGCUUUAGCCCAAGGGAAUGGCAAGCAUGGCUUAUUUGUUGCAAUUUCUGCAACAGGCAGUGGGCAGUUGCUCAGGCUCAUGAUCUGUCUUAGUCUUGCUUAUGACCUGCAAUAUAGUUGAUAGGUGAGGGGACAGACAGAAGGUCAGAGAAAGGAAGUCAGUAGUCUCAUGCCAGGAGAGUCCAUGCACAGAGGUCUUUGCUCAGCUUCUUCUGUCACCAGAGUCUCUUGAUUGCAGAUGUCCCCGUUGGUUAAAUGAAGCACCAGAUCCAUCGAGACCCAGUCAUGUUUUGUUAUCAUUGCGACCCUCUUUUGAGAUGUGGCUUUGUGGGUGCUUAAAUGACAGGCGUGCACCACAGUACCUGUCUCUGCCCAAGGGUUUUGUUGGUCACUCUAGUGCUGCUGCCUCCUAUCUCACUGCAGCAGCCCAUACUGCUUUCUGGUUCUUUUCAGCAAUACAGUUGGCCAGAGAGGUCCUUCUAGUACCUUCUUUCUUCCUGGGCUCCUGAGGCCCCCUAGACAGCAUCAUUCAUCUUGGUCUUUGACUCUCUGUGGAGGCAUGAACUUAAAAGGCUGUACUCCACAGCUAGGAAGCAGUCAUUGAGGUACUUUGGCUAGGGUGGCAGUAUAAGAUCCGGGCUGGCAGCAUCGCAGACUCGGCACUCAGCUCUUACUGCGGGUAAAACCUGACGACGAGGUUCCCUCCAACAGGCCCACCCAGAGAGUGGCAAGUGUGAUGCUGGGCCGUGAACAUGCAGCUAAGUGACCAAUUUGGACACUUAAGGUGAUGAACGGACUAGUUCUAUCUUCCCCAGGCAACAGUUAAAGGCCUUACUUCCCAGAAGUAACAGCCCACACAUGGCCUAAUGAGCUACUGGCUGGCUCUUCUCUUCCCUACCUCCCUCCUGUGGAAACUACAUCCCUUACAUCCCUGGUCUAGGUUCUGUGUUCUCAGCUGCUUCUCCAAUUGCCUUCUAAGUAAGAGGUGUUCAGAGGCCUCUUGAAGCCUGUCUGCUGGCAGGCCUGGGGUAAGAUAGGGAUGCAAGCGAGGAAAUGCGUCUCCAGCUCACAGCUGAGCUACCCCUUACAAAUUGCUUGCUGCUGCUGCUGAGCAGACACAGUUGUGCUUGAGCCUCUGUCCAUCUUCAUCUGAUGGUAGCCUGUGCUUUAUGCUUUCACCUCCUUGUCCUGAGUGCUCUCUCCUUGAAGAAAGAGCCUUAUUGCUUUUCUAAUGAUGAGAAAAGAUGACCUGUUUUAGCCACUGCUAACAUCUUUGGGUCUGGGCUCACAGGGAUGGAUGGAUGGAUGGGUGGAUGGGUGGAUGGGUGGAUGGAUGGGCGGGUAAGCAGGCAGGUGGACGGGUGGGUGGGUGGAUGGACAGAUAGAUAUAUAUUUAUAUAUAUUUGUAUUUCUAUUGUCUAAAUAUCACAGUGGACAUUGUUCAGUUGCCUCUGUGCAGCCUAACCAUAUGCUCUAUACCAGACAGAACCAUGUGACUUGUAUGUCAAGGCAUUGCACCACCUGGAUGUGUAGUUAUUAACUUAAUUUUCACUGAGUUAGGGUGUGUUUACUGUUUCAGCCUUCAUAAUGUGUAAAAUGAUUUAUAUUACAUUUUUAAAAUUAGCAGUUGAGAGGGAUCAAGAGUACAGCCUAUAUUAUACAGUGCUCUACUAUAUAGUGUACUUACAGCUAGCCGGAGUUAAAUGAGAUCCUAUCUCAAAACAAAUUUAUAGUAAACUUUAAUGACAAAAGUACCCAUCUUAGGGGCUGGGAAGGUCGCUGCCACUAGUCCUGUCAACCUAAGGCCAAAGCACAGCAUCCUGCAAGUUGUCGCCUGACCUCCGCUCUGCUGCAGUCUGCUCACACAUACAAUAGAGAUAGAACUCCUGGUGUCUCUAGUGUGCUGCAUUCUGAAUCCCUCGUGUAAGUGGAAUCAUGUAGCACUUGUCCUUGGUAUCUGACAUCUCAGCAUAUGUAUUUACACACCUAUAUACCUAUAUACCUAUCUCAUCACUUGAAGCAGAGGGACAAGCAUUGCCAUGAGUUCAAGGCUAACCAGGACUCUAGAGAGACCAUUUCAACCUCUUACUACCAGUGCUAUCUUUCUUAGUCAGGGUUUGUAUUCCUGCACAAACAUCAUGACCAAGAAGCAAGGUGGGGAGGAAAGGGUUUUAUUCGGCUUACACAUUCACAUUGCUGUUCAUCACAAAAGGAAGUCAGUGCUGGAACUCACACAGGGUAGGAAGCAGGAGCUGAUGCAGAGGCCAUGGAGGGAUGUUACUUACUGGCUUGCUUCCCCUGGCUUGCUCGGUUUGCUUUCUUACAGAACCCAAGACUACCAGCACAGAAAUGGCACCACCCACAAUGGGCUGAGUCCUCUCUUUGAUCACUAGGUGAGAAAAUGCCUUACAGCUGGGUCUCAUGGAGGCAUUUCCUCAAGGGAGGCUCCUUUCUCUGUGAUAACUCCAGCUUGUGUCAAGUUGACACAUAAAGCCAGCCUGUACAUUAUCUUUAGUGAACUUUCUGAGGUUUUUGUUGUUGUCUUUGCUUUUGUUAUUUUGGAUUUAUUUUUUGUUUUGCUUUGGUUUUGGUUGGUUUGUUCCGAAGACUGACUUAAAAGGCUCAAAUGCAAAGUGAAUUUAUAAUUCUAGCAAGCCCCUAUCAAACACACACAAUCUAGGUAUUUUAUUUACAAGUUGUAAGCCUAGAUUGGGCAGAUUUAGAGCUAUUGUAAGUUAUUUUCCCCAGCUAUAAAGUCCCUUGUUACUUGUUUCUUUUGGUCACAUGCUCAUGGUCUAUAUCCUCUCAUGUGGCCUCCUUUCUUUUUCUCCCUCUACCUGCAACUCAAUCCUCAAGUCCCACCUUUUUCCCUCCGCUGCCCGAUCACAGACUCUAGCCUUUUAUUGACCAGUUAAAUGGGGGAGCAAGGGUUCCUUAGCAUCACUUGGUAUGCAUGAGAUUCUAACAUUGCAGGCAACCAUGUUUUGAGAGCCAGUGUUUAACAUUAGAAUACAAGCAGCAUCAAACCAACCUACUACACUCAGACACACUAAAUAUGUGCUAUACCACUGAGCCGCAGCUGCAGCUGACAUGUUUGUGUGUUGAUUGUGGAUGCCCGUACGUGUGGUUUCACAUGGGUGGAGAGAGCAGAGGUUGAGUUGGUUGGCCUUCCUCUGUCGUUUCUAAAACAGCGUCUCUAACUGACUGUGUGUCUUGCUGAUCGGCUAGACUAGCUGGUCAGGAAACGCUGCAUGUCAUCUUCUCUCCAGCAUGCCUAGCUUUCAUGUGGGUGCUCGGGAUGAAACUCGGGUCUGAAUGUUUACUCCUCGUGCAGCCCUGGCUGUCCUGGUGGACCAGGUGGGCUGCAAACUCAGAAAUCCGCCUGCCUCUGCCUCCCGAGUGCUGGGAUUAAAGGCGUGCGCCACCACGCCUGGCUAGCCUCAAACUUUUUAAGGAGGCAAAAAAAAACCAAAGUACUAUGGAAUGUUAACAUGUAGGAUGUGGGUGUGUGAGUAGCUUUUGGUUGGUUGGUUGUUUGGUUGGUUGGUUUGGUUAAAUAGCUGGAUGUGGCAGUGCAUCCUGUGAUGUAAGCUGCUCAGGAGGUAAAGGCAGAAAGAUUAUAAGGUCAAGUUGAACACCUUAGUGAGAUCCUGUCUCAAAAAGUAAAAAGAGGGCCAAUAAAAUGUGACAGGGUGGUAGAGCACCUUAAGUUCCCCCGGCAAAACACAAAACAAGCAACACAAGCUAGCAGUGGGAAUGGUCCUCACUUUGUAUCUCUAGCCCUCCAGAGGCUGAAGGAGGAGGACUCAGGACAGCACCAGCUUGAACUGCAUACUCUAUUUUCUCUUUGGUUUUGUGAUAGAAGGAACAGUGAUACCACACCUGGUCAUUGGGGUUUACUUUGUUAUGUUCUAUGUGCCAUGUCUAAAAUGCAGCAGUCCUGUCUGCAGUGUAUUUUAGCAUUGACAUACACGUGUCAUUUUAAGAGACAUUCGAAGCUCAGUACCAAGAUGGAUGGUUGAUGUGUGGUUCCACAAAAACAGUUUAAACAGCAACCAUUGGUUUACCAGAUCAAAAAAUAGAUGUUGGUAAUUGGGUUUAUGUUAUUAUGUGUAUAGGUGACACACCUUUAAAAAUGUCUAGAAGACAAGGAUGGAUCGGGGUGGGAGGAUAAAAUAUGGAGUGUAAAAAAA
Long non-coding RNA from Mus musculus (house mouse), 4795 nucleotides. RefSeq annotates it as predicted gene, 57781. The record is from RefSeq and is a predicted model, not a curated record. The transcript has 2 exons. Lineage: Eukaryota; Metazoa; Chordata; Mammalia; Rodentia; Muridae.